UCUCCCCACGAGUCACAGGCCCCCAAAGCGGAAAUGACUCCUGGCCUCACCUCCAGAUGCAGGCCUGAGCUGAGCAGAGAACUGGCGUCCCGUCUCCAUCUUGGUGCUGGAUUCCCUGGAGCAGGAAGGGCCAAUCAGGAGCAAAAGAAGCUCUCUGGUGCUCGUUUCUCCUUUGGGCUUUUUGCAAGUCCCAUCUCCAGGUCAGCACUGUGAUCUUGGAACUUAACCUCCUAGGGUCUCAGUUUUCCCAGCUGCAAAAUGGGGAUGCAAGAAUCUUCUUCACAGGGUUGUUAAGAAGAUCUAAACAAAUGCAUGGAGAUAUGAUCACUUCUACUUUAAAGUGUGGAAACUGAGGCUCAGAAAAGGUAAGAAUCUCAGUCAAGGUCACUCAGCUGACAAGCGCAGAGCCAAGGCUGAAACCUAGAUCUGUCUGAUUCCAGAGCUCAUGCUUGUAAACCCUGAGUUCCUGUGUUUAGAGGACAGAAGCUAGAGGGUGCAGGCAGCAGAUGGGGCUGAGGGGAGCAGGGGAGGUAAGGUGAGGGUCAUUUGAGGAGUCAGGGUGAGGUCUGAGGGGAGGAUGCUGGGCCUGAAGGAGAGAGGAGGGGAAAGGCCCACGAUGUGAUGGGGAAGCCCCCUCCCCACACUCACCCAGACAGACAGACAGACACACACACACACACACAAGACAGAGUCCGACACACACCCACAGACAUAUACAAGGACCUAUAGGAUGCACACACAUACACACAAACACACCUAGAAGACACACACAGACCCAGAAAUGCACACUCACGUUGGCACACGUCAGAGAUACACACAGACCCAGUGACACUCAGACUCACAUACACAGGCACACAGAGACACAGACACCCACGCGCACACAUGUCCUAGAGGGAAGGGAAGGGAGAGCCAGAGAGCCGCCUCAUUUCCAGGCCUCCUCC
Molecule: non-coding RNA, 941 nt
Organism: Kogia breviceps (pygmy sperm whale)
Lineage: Eukaryota; Metazoa; Chordata; Mammalia; Artiodactyla; Physeteridae
Source: RefSeq, a predicted model, not a curated record